Molecule: ribosomal RNA, 478 nt
Filed under: uncultured bacterium
Lineage: Bacteria
Description: partial 16S ribosomal RNA
Rfam family: Bacterial small subunit ribosomal RNA
Source: RNAcentral
GACGAACGCCGGCGGCGUGCUUAACACAUGCAAGUCGAACGGUAAGGCCCUUCGGGGUACACGAGUGGCGAACGGGUGAGUAACACGUGGGUGAUCUGCCCUGCACUUCGGGAUAAGCCUGGGAAACUGGGUCUAAUACCGGAUAGGACUCCUGGCUUCAUGGUUGGGGGUGGAAAGCUCUUGCGGUGUGGGAUGGGCCCGCGGCCUAUCAGCUUGUUGGUGGGGUAAUGGCCUACCAAGGCGACGACGGGUAGCCGGCCUGAGGGGGUGACCGGUCACACUGGGGCUGAGAUACGGCCCAGACUCCUACGGGAGGCAGCAGUGGGGAAUAUUGCACAAUGGGCGCAAGCCUGAUGCAGCGACGCCGCGUGAGGGAUGACGGCCUUCGGGUUGUAAACCUCUUUCAGCUAUGACGAAGCGCAAGUGACGGUAGUAGCAGAAGAAGGACCGGCCAACUACGUGCCAGCCGCCGCCGUAA